CCCAUUGUGGAGCCUGAGAUCCUUGUUGAUGGACCUCAUGACAUUGACCGCUGUGCUUACGUCACCGAGAUCGUCCUUGCUGCCUGCUACAAGGCCCUCAACGACCAGCAUGUCCUCCUCGAGGGCACUCUCCUGAAGCCCAACAUGGUCACCCCUGGUUCUGACUCCAAGAAGGUGGCCCCUGAGGUGAUUGCUGAGUACACCGUCCGCACCCUCCAGAGGACCGUCCCUGCUGCCGUCCCCGCCAUUGUCUUCCUCUCUGGUGGACAGAGCGAGGAGGAGGCGACCCUGAACCUGAACGCCAUGAACAAGCUCCAGACCAAGAAGCCCUGGAACCUGUCCUUCUCCUUCGGGCGUGCCCUCCAGCAGAGCACCCUCAAGGCCUGGUCCGGCAAGACGGAGAACGAGGAGAAGGCCAGGGCGGCGUUCCUGGUGAGGUGCAAGGCCAACUCCGAGGCCACCCUCGGCACCUACAAGGGCGACGCCACCCUCGCUGAGGGCGCCUCCGAGAGCCUCCACGUCAAGGACUACAAGUACUGAUUGAUCUGCCUUCGGUGCUGUGGCCCGUUUGGGCGUCCCGCUUACCAGUAUCAUUGUCAUUGUUUGGUUUCCUGAGUCCUGAUAUAUCCUCGGAUAUCGAACAUCGUUUUUAAUAAUAUGGAACUUGUGUUUUCAUAAUACCGUAGUAGUUUCUUUUUGGAGUUGAAGUACCCUGAAAAUCGGGUGCUGCGUAUCGUAAAUUGGAGCAGGUUUUUGUUCCAUGGUCCUGUAAUUUACCUGCUCAUACAAUGUUAAAACCUGUCAUAUGCUGAGUACACAUGUGUUCCGUCACUUUUUUCUUGCUUGGCUAUCGUUAAGUUUCAUUCAUGAAACGUGAUUGCGCUGAGGCGUCUGGAUUUUCCUUCGUCAGUUUGAUGCACGACUUUCAAGAUUUUGAUAAUGAAGGCAAAAAUACUGCCACUUCCUUCCUUGAUGUCAUGUACUCCCUCAGUUCCUAAAUGCAGUAUAAGUCUAGACAUUCCACUUAUAUUUAGGAACAGAUUUGAAGGCACAUAGCAGCAGAUUCCAAUCGACGUCCUCAUCCAGCAAAUCCAUCGACCAGUUCCUGAAAGAUCUCAAACCUGUAAAUUACACAUCUACAGGUUUGACAGUGCCAUUGAAGUAAUAAACGCAAUUCAAAUCUAUGUACAUGAACCACCUGCCUUUUGGAUAGUAAGCUGUAAGCCCUUGGGCACAAGACACUGUAUUCCAUCGCCCCGCAGCUUUGUACCAAAGACAAAUUAGAGACGAAUGGAAAGUUGCUCAAUAACACUAAAUUAAAGGCUAGCAGAUGAUACAAGACCCCAUGUAAGAAUAUUUUGUCAGUACAUAACUCAAACACGAACAUCUUACUGAAAGCACAAGUUCUUCGAAUCAUCUUGCUCAAUGACUUAUAAUAGAAUUGGGACAGGGACACCACCAAUAGUCCAAUACUAAUGCAAACAAAGAUCUCUUUCUCUAUCCUAACAACACCACGAGAGGAAACGCCUUCAUCCGAUCAUCUAAAAAACAGAGCACCCGAGCCUAUAACAUAGGAAUCACAUGCAUGAAAGGAAAAGACUGAACCAAUCAACCCCCAAACAAAAUAGUAAGCUCACCACAAUCAUAUACUAGUAUAUACAUGUACCUUUUCAUCCGCAAGGGAACAUAAACCUACCUACGAAUUCCUCCUAAAACCAUCUUGAUCCAACUAAAAAAUUUCACAGGAGAAAACUUCAAACCGGUAUGACCUUUCCAGAAAGAAAAAUAAAUACUCAAUAAGCAAGAUGGAUGUUUUGCACAAAAACAACAAUAGAACAAAAAAGUACUCCCUCCGUCCUAAAAUAAGUGUCUCAACUACAACGGAGGGAGUAACUGAAUGACUUUAGAUCACAGGACUAUGCUUUUACGCCAUGAACAAAUAGGAGAAAAGGAUGAAUAGGCUAAUAAAUAUACACACCUUUGCAUCAACACUAUGUCUGGUUGAGAUAACAUUCAAAGACAACAACAGUGGCAUAAAAAGCCCAACUUCACACUCAUAAAUUAUUAGAUCCAGUUAGGGCACACAAUGUUUUUGAAAUGAGCACCUCUCAACCCCAACCUAGCGGCUGCACCGCAGCGGCGGCAGCCACUGCGGCCCCGUCGCACACCACCCCACCGGCCACCUGAUGGUGUCCUGGACUAGGGGGUGCUUGACACGUCUACUCCCGACCAUAUGGGAUGGCGUUCCUGGUGAGGUGCAAGGCCAACUCUGAGGCCACCCUCGGCACCUACAAGGGCGACGCCACCCUCGGCGAGGGCGCCUCCGAGAGCCUCCACGUCAAGGACUACAAGUACUGAUCUAUCUGCCUUCGGUGCUGUGGCCCGUUUUGGCAUCCCACUUUUCAUUGUUUGGUUUUCGGAUAUCGAACAUCGUUUUUAAUAAUAUGGAACUUGUGUUUUCAUAAUACCGUAGUAGCUUAUUUUUGGAGUUGAAUUACCCUGUAAAUUGGGUACUACGUAUCGUAAAUUGGAGCAGGUUUUUGUUCCAUGGUCCUGUAAUUUACCUGCUCAUACAAUGGUAAAACCUGUUAUAUGCUGAGUACACAUCUGUUCCAUCGUUUUUUCUGAUUUUAAAGGCGCCUGAACUAUUUUGGGCGUCACUCCUUCCGCUUCGCGCGAGUGGAGCGCUGGCAAGCCGUGAGCGGAAUCAAUCCUAAC
This 2718-nucleotide long non-coding RNA is filed under the name Triticum aestivum (bread wheat). RNAcentral describes it as "long non-coding RNA (TAES_LNC027782)". Lineage: Eukaryota; Viridiplantae; Streptophyta; Magnoliopsida; Poales; Poaceae. The record is from RNAcentral.